GAUGAACGCUGGCGGCGUGCCUAAUACAUGCAAGUCGAGCGAACAGACGAGGAGCUUGCUCCUCUGACGUUAGCGGCGGACGUGUGAGUAACACGUGGAUAACCUACCUAUAAGACUGGGAUAACUUCGGGAAACCUGAGCUAAUACCGGAUAACAUGUAGAACCUUAUGGUUCAACAUUGAAAGACGUUCCUUAUGAUUAGUAUAUAUGGAAGCGAGCCGCAUUAGCUAGUUGGUAAGGUUACGCUUUACUAAGUGGACGAUGCGUAGCCGACCUGAGAGGGUGAUCGGCAACACGGGAACUGAGAGACGGUGCAACCUGCUGCGGGAGGCAGCAGUAGGGAAUCUUCGGGAGUGGGCGGAAGCCUGACGGGGCAACGCGGCGUGAGUGAAGAAGGUCUUCGGAUCGUAAAACUCUGUUAUUAGGGAAGAACAAAUGUGUAAGUAACUAUGCACAUCUUGACGGUACCUAAUAAGAUAGCCACGGCUAACUACGUG
This 497-nucleotide ribosomal RNA is filed under the name uncultured bacterium. RNAcentral describes it as "partial 16S ribosomal RNA". It matches the Rfam family "Bacterial small subunit ribosomal RNA", at positions 28 to 507 of the family's 1533-position model. The record is from RNAcentral.